Molecule: long non-coding RNA, 510 nt
Organism: Pipistrellus kuhlii (Kuhl's pipistrelle)
Lineage: Eukaryota; Metazoa; Chordata; Mammalia; Chiroptera; Vespertilionidae
Exons: 3
Source: RefSeq, a predicted model, not a curated record
GGUUUCUCCUUCACUAUUGUGAUGAGUAACAAGAACUAAUAAAUAUUGUACUAUCCACAGAAAAAAAUUAAAUAUUUGCUUUGAAGGCAUAGAGAGAAAUGUUUACAAUUGUAUGUGCAAUUGAAUGCUUGCAUCUAGUGCACUCUAAGUUCCUAAGGAGUCCUCUCACUUUUAUAGGACUGCUCUACAUGUGGCCUGUGGCAAGGGCUUUCCCAGAGUGGUGAGACUGCUGACACGCAGAGGUUGCUUACUGAACCUCUGUGAUAUUGACAACAAAACUGCUCUCAUUCACGCCAUACAAUAUGAGCAAGAAGAAUGUGCCACCAUUCUACUAGACCAUGGUGCCAAUCCAAAUGUGAUGGACAUCCACGGCAACACUGCUCUCCACUAUGCUCUCCUUGGUACCAACACAGCUAUAGUGGAAAAGCUACUUUCCUGUAUGGAAAAUAUGGAAGCGAGAAACAAGAAUGACUUCACACCAUUUUCAGUUGCUAAAUAUGGAAACAAAGA